GGACGAACGCUGGCGGCGUGCUUAACACAUGCAAGUCGAGCGGUAACGGCCCUUUCGGGGGUACGACGAGCGGCGAACGGGUGAGUAACACGUGGGUGACCUGCCCUUAGCUCCUGGGAUAAGCCUGGGAAACUGGGUCGUAAUACCGGAUAUGACUCCAUGACGCAUGUUGUCGGGGUGGAAAGCCUUGUGCGGCUAGGGAUGGGCCCGCGGCCUAU
This 218-nucleotide ribosomal RNA is filed under the name uncultured bacterium. Its description in RNAcentral is "partial 16S ribosomal RNA". It matches the Rfam family "Bacterial small subunit ribosomal RNA", at positions 27 to 241 of the family's 1533-position model. The record is from RNAcentral.